Molecule: ribosomal RNA, 348 nt
Filed under: uncultured bacterium
Lineage: Bacteria
Description: bacterial SSU rRNA
Rfam family: Bacterial small subunit ribosomal RNA
Source: RNAcentral
GGGCCCGCACAAGCGGAGGAACAUGUGGUUUAAUUCGAUGAUACGCGAGGAACCUUACCAAGACUUAAAUGUAGAUUGACAGAUCGUGAAAACGAUUUUUUCUUCGGACAAUUUACAAGGUGCUGCAUGGUUGUCGUCAGCUCGUGCCGUGAGGUGUCGGGUUAAGUCCCAUAACGAGCGCAACCCCUAUUUUUAGUUACCAGCGAGUAAUGUCGGGAACUCUAGAAAGACUGCCUGUGUAAACAGUGAGGAAGGUGGGGAUGACGUCAAAUCAUCACGGCCUUAUGUCUUGGGCUACACACGUGCUACAAUGGCCGGUACAGAGAGCAGCCACACCGCAAGGUGGAG